GUUGGAUUGGGGAGAAAAAUGAAAUUAUGAGGACAGCAACCAAGACAUGAACCCAGAAGCAUCUGCAGUAUAUCCUAAAUGCAUCAUGCAUACAAUUAUAGGUUGUCAUGUAAGUAAUCUAGUGUUUUAGUUCAAUAUGCCAAAGAAUAUUUGCAACAGAUGUAUAACAUGGGUAAAGAUGUGAAGGAAGAGGGCUUGGAAUUUUUGUGCUCCACAGAUAACACAUCCAUGAUUGAAGGGGAACUUGCUUGAUUCCAUUGUCAAAUUAAUUGCUCAUACCUACACAAACAACUAAAUUAAUUGGGGAACCACAAAGUUCAAC
RNAcentral lists this unclassified non-coding RNA (322 nucleotides) under Hevea brasiliensis (rubber tree). The record is from RNAcentral. Lineage: Eukaryota; Viridiplantae; Streptophyta; Magnoliopsida; Malpighiales; Euphorbiaceae.